UAGAUGGAUGCUCGCUGGUUAGAGCGCUUAGCUGUUGACUAAGAGUUUGUAGGAUCAAGGCCUUCCUGUCUAG
Molecule: transfer RNA, 73 nt
Filed under: Chaeturichthys stigmatias (finespot goby)
Lineage: Eukaryota; Metazoa; Chordata; Actinopteri; Gobiiformes; Gobiidae
Description: tRNA-Asn
Rfam family: tRNA
About the family: Transfer RNA (tRNA) molecules are approximately 80 nucleotides in length. Their secondary structure includes four short double-helical elements and three loops (D, anti-codon, and T loops).
Source: RNAcentral